This 502-nucleotide ribosomal RNA is filed under the name uncultured bacterium. RNAcentral describes it as "bacterial SSU rRNA". It matches the Rfam family "Bacterial small subunit ribosomal RNA", at positions 28 to 520 of the family's 1533-position model. The record is from RNAcentral.
GACGAACGCUGGCGGCGCGCUUAACACAUGCAAGUCGUGCGGUGUCGAAGGCAAGUCUUACGACAAGCCUUCGACACAGCGGCGAACGGGUGAGUAACACGUGAGUAGCUGUCCUAAGGAGGGGGAUAACGCCUGGAAACGGGUGCUAACACCCCAUAUGCCUCGCAAGAGGUGAAAGUGUACUUGCUACAGCCUUAGGGUGUGCUCGCGGCCUAUCAGCUAGUUGGUGAGGUAACGGCUCACCAAGGCCAAGACGGGUAGCCGGCCUGAGAGGGUGUACGGCCACACUGGAAUUGAGAUACGGUCCAGACUCCUACGGGAGGCAGCAGUGGGGGAAUCUUGGGCAAUGGGCGAAAGCCUGACCCAGCGACGCCGCGUUGGGGAUGAAGCCCUUCGGGGCGUAAACCCAUGUUGUAGGGGACGAAGAAAGUGACGGUACCCUACGAGAAGCCCCGGCCAACUACGUGCCAGCACGCCGACGACACAUACCGCGUCGAGGCGG